CAGCGACGCAUCGCGCAGUAUAGUUCAAAUUGGAUGGAGCUUGUUUGAGGAAACUUGGCGCAGACUACCAUAAUGGACCAACGUUUGCCGAAACUUCGGUCGAGUCGACGCGUAAUCUUGUAAUCAAAAGUCCGAACGUAUAAAGCGAAUUUAAUCAAACUCGGACACACCGAAGCCCAGGCUGGUUGCAAACUGAACGGAAACCACGAUCUGCAGGUACCAAUAAAAUUUCGUCGUCAACGUAAAGGACCUCGUCAUAGUAACGCGAAUCGAUGGUCACCGUUGUGACGAUAAAUAUUCGUUUCGAAGGAGCCAGGCCAACCAGAAUAUCUACCGAGAAGUGAACUCGAUCGGUUACAUCGAAGCACGACUACGUAUAGGUAUCAUUUAACUAGGAUUACUGCAGCCAAUAUUACUAAGGCAAUCGCGAUCGGUUCUAUAACGCAGCUAGCGAUUAGAGUAAUUGACGCAGGGCUACAAUUGAUUUUAUCGACACUAAUUUCGUUGUAUCGACGCGACUGAUUCUAUCGCGAUGAUUAGUAGCAAUUUCGCGGUGACGAUCGCCAUAACAGCUCUCUCUACCUAACGGUACUACGUCUUUGUUGCGUCAGAAUUAUUUUAAAUCAAAUUAAAUAUUGAAAUGUGUAAACAAGAAAUUAAUCGAAUCAGCGAGCCUACGCUGAAUAUGUGCAUUUAUCCAGAAUGAGGUAUUAAUACUAUUAAUAUUAAUUUACUAAAUAUUUAUUCACGCACGUUUUGUAUGUCUAUCCCAAAUUAACAUAGCGAUAAAUAUGCGAAUUCGCGGUCAGCUUAGCAAUGAAUAAAUAAUUGUUUAAUAUUUCUGAUUUUAUGAUCGACCAGGUUUAUUUCUAUCAUCGAAUUUGUCACAUUUGCUUACACUAUAAAUAAAAAAGAAAGCAUUCUACUGACGACAAAGAUUGUUUCUGCGAGACAUUAUACUUGACUCUUAGCGAUAAUAGUUCACGCGUAUUUGGAUAACCAUACUCAAGUUUCCAAGCGGAGUAGCAUGAUUCACGCGAUCCUCUCGCAAUCUGGAGAUGCAUAAAAGAAGAGGUAUGCACCUGCGGCGGAGGAGAUUCGGCCGCGAGACGAGAAAGUUUCCGCAUUAGCCGGAACUGCAAAAAGGAAGACGGUCAAAUUACCUGAAUCCCGACGGGCCUCGGCUAGUCUGCUGAAAAGGAGCGGUAGGAUGCCUUUCGUACCAAGAUUAUACCAUUUGGAACCGCGUGUCGUUCAUAGCGAGCGAGCUUCGCUCCGUGUCGUGUUCGCAGGUGCAAAGAAUUUUUCAGAACGAAUUUUUCAGCACGAACUUCGUCGCUCGCCGCUUUAAUUGAAACUACGCUGCGGAGCGCAACUAUAGUAACGUUCACAGUUUUAAAUGUUUCAGGCUUUUAGAUAGAAAUGAGAAAAAAUCAAUUAUACGAGCUCGGAGGUAUGGUAAAUAAUGAAUUUUAUGUUGAUACCAGUUAAUCUACUAACCACAAGUUGUGUCGGGUAAAAGAAACUGUUUUUACUAUAUUUUUACAAUUUUUUUAAACAAAUGCAUACUUUUCAUAGGGGGCACGGUUUUAAAAAUCUAAAAAAAUUGAGAGUGUAGUCGAAUUUGUCUCAUUUCAUUCUUUGAAGGUAGGUGGGUUAAAAAGUAUUCCACUUUUUGCUUAGCUUUGCUAUUUUAUUUAUAGUUUCUCAUUCAUGUAGCAAUACUAUACCAGGGCUUCUAAAACUUUUUUCAUUCACGACCCCAUUUAUGAUUGUGAUUUUUUUCUCAACCCAAAAAAUAUAAAUCCUAAGACCAAUAAAUAUAUAAAAAUAACAUAUUGCAUAUAAUAAUUAAUAAACUAAUUACCGAAUAAAUACAAAAAUACUAUAUUAUUUUUGCGAUGUCCACUCUCGUGUUACAAUGGAGCAGAGUCAACUGACUACACUGCAAAAGCGACAACACUGCACUAGUUCACACUACAAUCAGUGUUGCUUAAUCGUUGUCUCGCUGCACCAGAAAUGACACAAAGCGCAAUUCACGAAACCUGUGACACAAAGUGCGCUAUUUUCGAACUCUUACAAAUGUAUUUAAAUAUUUUACAUUAAAAUCUUGCGAACCCAAGAUUUCGCUAAGCGACCCAUAGUUUAAGAAGCCCUGCUAUAAACGGACGCUAAAAGUACAACAAGUGGAAUCAGAAAUGUAUACAAGUCAAAACGCGUUAGCAAGUUGUUAACAGUGUUCUUCUGUGCAACUUGAAUUUUAUUUAUUUUUUUUUUAUAUAAUCGUGUGCUUCGAAGAGUUAAGAUAGAACUAUCAAAAACACACUCGCGAAUUAUCUAUGGGAGUGGUGAGCAAAGCUAUAAGACUAUGGAUGUUGGCGAAAUCGAUUGUUAAUCCGUGAAUCUCUCUGCCGGAGGUUUCGCGCGAGUCAAAGGACGAAAUCUCGUUGCGGGAAGAUACAAGCGCAGGUCGAGGCGACACGCUAAUUAUUAUGCGGAAUGUGUUUCACCGAGACCGUGGCUGACCCGAAUUAAAAUGGACGCGAUCGUUAUUCACGGAAUAAUUAGAUUAAAAAGUUCCUCCAGUUUUUCGUUGUACUAAUAAAACGCCACGAAGCUGUGCUUUUUUAUGGUUGAAUGGCGUCUAGCGGUUAUGAAACAUCUUUUAAAUGGCUUUCAAAAAUGGCCAUUACUCGAUCGAAUAUGCUCAUUGAUUCUUGGCUCGUGAGAGUCGUUUUUUCAACAUUCCAGGAACGAAAUUACAGGAAUUAUAUUAUUAUACUACAUGAAAUAAAGGAAUAAUUACAAUACAUUAUAUGUAGUACUUGGUAAUUACAGUAAUUGUGGAAGAAUAACAAUAAGCAAAAUCUGAUUGCUACUGAAGUUCGUAUAGAUUGCAAUGGCCAUCAGGUUGAGACUUAUGUGUACAGAUAGAUUGCAAGUAUAUCUAUCUAAACUGGAGUUGUAAAUAUAUAUAGAUUGAAUACAAUGGUAGAGAGACAAUUUUACCACUUCGUACUAUAGAAUAUUAGCCCUUUACAUUUAAUAUUAACUCAUAUUAUUCACUCGUUGCACAAUGUGCAGGAAUGUAAUCACGUGGUUUUUUGAAAAUAUUUUCAGUCUCGUAAUAUCAUCGUUCAGCGUUGUUAUCACUUUUCCAUUUUUACUGGUUUGCCGCGCGACGCAACUUGCCUGACGAGGAAUUUGGAAGGAAUAAUUCUGGCGCAGUUCGCUACGAAAAAGGAAGGAAACGGGAUAAAAUUAACGACUCGCGUGACAUUGCGCAAAAAAGAGAAAAGAAAGAAAAACACGAAGAUAGAAAAGGAAGCAGGAACGGUUUCUCUUUUGCUGGCGAGGGACCAGCAAGAUACAAAAAAUAAAGUAAAGAAGAAUCGUUCCAGUUUCCUUGGUUCGGGCCGCUUUUGAAAUAACCGCCGCGACCCUGAGCUUCCUUUCAUGAAAGGAAUACCGGGCCGUUUGCAGCUCGCGUCGACGGUAAGGAAUGCUUAAAAACGCGCCCCGUGGAAAUGUCAGGAGUCACUCUUGCGCGUAUUAAUUCCCCCUUUGGAAUUUCAUCGUGCCUUUAGAACCUGGCUUUAACCAACGCAAGCCUUUAUUUUCGUCGUGGAUUGGAAGGGGUUUGCUUAAAUGUACAGGUUGCAAAGUUAAAGGCUUUCCUGUUUGGCAUCACAAAUUUAUUGGGUUGUCCAGAAAGUUCGUGCCAAUUUUUAAGAAAUUCAAAGGCAUAUUUGAAUUUUGAUAUACAUUUAUUGAAUUACAUAAGCACCAUUUUGUUUCACAACCUUUCCACCUCUCAAAGGAUACACAAGUGUUAUUUGUUUUUAACCACUCCGAUAUAUUCAGACCUGUACCAUCUACCAAAACUUGGCAUGGACUUUCCAGACAAAUCAUUAUAAAAUUGUUAUUGUUGCGACGGCAUGAAGAUGCCGCGCGAGAUUCCGAAGUUGCAUCGUCGCGACAGUGUGAAGAUGCUCCUUCGAACGAGCGGAAACGAGAUCCCGUUCUUCCGGUUGCGAAGAGCCGGGAGAUAUUUAAAAUGAAGAGUUCUGUGUUAGACUUGUUGACGAACGAACUUUUUUAAUAUACCUCAAAGU
Molecule: long non-coding RNA, 4115 nt
Organism: Hylaeus volcanicus
Lineage: Eukaryota; Metazoa; Arthropoda; Insecta; Hymenoptera; Colletidae
Exons: 3
Source: RefSeq, a predicted model, not a curated record